GGGGCCGUGGGGUAGCUUGGCCUAUCCUGCGGGCUUUGGGAGCCCGUGACCCGAGUUCAAAUCUCGGCGGCCCCACCA
Molecule: transfer RNA, 78 nt
Filed under: Thermococcus sp.
Lineage: Archaea; Methanobacteriati; Methanobacteriota; Thermococci; Thermococcales; Thermococcaceae
Also listed under: 3 other names
Description: tRNA-Pro
Rfam family: tRNA
About the family: Transfer RNA (tRNA) molecules are approximately 80 nucleotides in length.
Source: RNAcentral